This 73-nucleotide transfer RNA is filed under the name Tremella mesenterica DSM 1558. RNAcentral describes it as "tRNA-Arg (TCT) (tRNA-Arg-TCT-1-1)". It matches the Rfam family "tRNA". Rfam says of the family: Transfer RNA (tRNA) molecules are approximately 80 nucleotides in length. Their secondary structure includes four short double-helical elements and three loops (D, anti-codon, and T loops). Lineage: Eukaryota; Fungi; Basidiomycota; Tremellomycetes; Tremellales; Tremellaceae. The record is from RNAcentral.
GCCGCUGUAGCGCAGAGGUUAGCGCAUCCGCCUUCUAAGCGGAAGGUCCAGAGUUCGAUCCUCUGCUGUGGUU